CAGGGAGACAACAAAAUGUUAAAUAUUAAUUUUGUCACCUUAGGUCGAUCGGUACCUCACAUUCUUAAUCUUAAGAAUUUUAUUUCCUAAGUUUUUUUCUAGGUCACACCCAUUACUUUUCCUGGGCCAUUAGCUCAGGUGGUUAGAGCGCACCCCUGAUAAGGGUGAGGUCCCUGGUUCAAGUCCAGGAUGGCCCAUAUCUCUAUGUUGGGGGUAUAGCUCAGUUGGUAGAGCGCCUGCUUUGCAAGCAGGAUGUCAGCGGUUCGAGUCCGCUUACCUCCACUGAUCACCACCUCUUCCAUAUUUAUAUAGAUAGGGAAAUGUUUUGAGCUGUGAUCACAUUCUGAACGAAUCUAGCUUCCUAAUUGAUCUUAUUAAGAUGCUGGACUCAUUGAAUUAAUUUCAUUGUUUUCAGAGAACCUUGACAACUGCAUAGAUUAUUUUAAAGACAAUAAGCAUCUUUAAUGAUGCAGAUUUAUUAUUUGUGCGAAAGCAUUAAUAACAAUUCUAUUAAGCUGAUGCUUCAAUUUUUGAAGUUAUUG
This 542-nucleotide transfer RNA is filed under the name uncultured Prochlorococcus sp. RNAcentral's name for it is "16S-23S ribosomal RNA intergenic spacer". The stretch from base 210 to 282 matches the Rfam family "tRNA". The record is from RNAcentral. Lineage: Bacteria; Bacillati; Cyanobacteriota; Cyanophyceae; Synechococcales; Prochlorococcaceae.